RNAcentral lists this ribosomal RNA (276 nucleotides) under uncultured bacterium. RNAcentral describes it as "partial 16S ribosomal RNA". It matches the Rfam family "Bacterial small subunit ribosomal RNA", at positions 78 to 353 of the family's 1533-position model. The record is from RNAcentral.
UCUAAGUUUGAUGGCGACCGGCGCACGGGUGAGUAACACGUAUCCAACCUGCCGAUGACUCGGGGAUAGCCUUUCGAAAGAAAGAUAAAUACCCGAUGGCAUAGUUCUUCCGCAUGGUAGAACUAUUAAAGAAUUUCGGUCAUCGAUGGGGAUGCGUUCCAUUAGGUUGUUGGCGGGGUAACGGCCCACCAAGCCUUCGAUGGAUAGGGGUUCUGAGAGGAAGGUCCCCCACAUUGGAACUGAGACACGGUCCAAACUCCUACGGGAGGCAGCAUG